UUGUUCAAACUAUGAUGAUAUCUUUGUAGGAAUCUCAUUGAAUUCCGAUAACGUAAUAAUGAAAUCAAAUUUAAUAGCUGAUUUUAAACUG
Small nucleolar RNA from Ceratitis capitata (Mediterranean fruit fly), 91 nucleotides. RefSeq annotates it as small nucleolar RNA Me28S-Am2634. The transcript has a single exon. The record is from RefSeq and is a predicted model, not a curated record. Lineage: Eukaryota; Metazoa; Arthropoda; Insecta; Diptera; Tephritidae.